CCUAAUCACUAGUGCGCUGCCUUACGUCAACAACGUCCCUCACCUCGGCAAUAUCAUCGGCUGUGUGUUGAGUGCCGAUGUGUUUGCUCGGUAUUGUAGGCUCAGAGGCUACAAUGCCAUAUACAUAUGCGGAACGGAUGAGUACGGGACAGCCACUGAGACGAAA
Ipomoea triloba (trilobed morning glory) is the source of this 166-nucleotide long non-coding RNA. RefSeq lists it as uncharacterized. The transcript is spliced from 2 exons. Lineage: Eukaryota; Viridiplantae; Streptophyta; Magnoliopsida; Solanales; Convolvulaceae. The record is from RefSeq and is a predicted model, not a curated record.